UACGUAGGGGGCAAGCGUUGUCCGGAUUUAUUGGGCGUAAAGAGCGUGUAGGCGGCUGGAUAGGUCCGCUGUGAAAACUCGAUGGCUCAACCUCGAGACGUCGGUGGAAACCAUCCAGCUAGAGUCCGGAAGAGGAGAGUGGAAUUCCUGGUGUAGCGGUGAAAUGCGUAGAUAUUGGGAGGAACACCAGUGGCGAAGGCGGCUCACUGGACCGGUACUGACGCUGAUGCGCGAAAGCGUGGGGAGCAAACGGGG
RNAcentral lists this ribosomal RNA (255 nucleotides) under uncultured bacterium. RNAcentral's name for it is "partial 16S ribosomal RNA". It matches the Rfam family "Bacterial small subunit ribosomal RNA", at positions 524 to 777 of the family's 1533-position model. The record is from RNAcentral.